GUACCGAUGAAGAGUCCCAAACCAGAACGAAACAGCUGUUCAGUAC
Non-coding RNA from Trichobilharzia regenti, 46 nucleotides. Lineage: Eukaryota; Metazoa; Platyhelminthes; Trematoda; Strigeidida; Schistosomatidae. The record is from Rfam.